Cydia strobilella is the source of this 3999-nucleotide RNA transcript. RefSeq lists it as uncharacterized. Lineage: Eukaryota; Metazoa; Arthropoda; Insecta; Lepidoptera; Tortricidae. The record is from RefSeq and is a predicted model, not a curated record. The transcript is spliced from 2 exons.
GAUCAUUAAAUUUCGCGUGUGCAGUAAGCAGUAAAUAUGUCUAUCGGCAAGCUACACGAAUUUAACGUCAGCAAUGGCGCGUGGUCAUCGUACAUGGAUCGAGUGGAAAUGUACUACAAGGUCAACAAAGUGCAAGACGAAAUGAAAGUGCCAGUAUUGAUUGCAGCGAUGGGAGAUGAGGCGUAUGAGCUUCUGGAGAACUUGGCCAGUCCUACAAAGCCAUCGGACCUAACCUUAGCUAAAAUAAAGGCAUUAAUGUCAAAUCAUUUGCAGCCAACACCGUCGUCGCUAGCGGAAAGAUACCGGUUUCGACAAAGGCGGCAAAAUGGCGGUGAAAAUGUAUCUACGUAUGUGGCGGAGUUGAAAAAGCUGUCCAAGCAUUGUAAAUUUGCCUCAGAAUUAAAUGGAAAUCUAAGGGAUCAAUUCAUAUGUGGCUUAAGUAGCGAUUUAAUUAGGCAACGGCUUUUUGCGGAGGACGACGACAUAACCUUCGCAUCUGCAGUCAAACUUGCAACAUCAUUGGAGGCAGCAGAGAGGGACGCAGCGUUAGUGGAGCAGUCAAAGGUAACGGGUUCGAGCGGGACGGGAGAUGCGCAGGCGGUUAUGUUUGCGAGUCGGGCGAGAUCGAGUACAUUCAGCGGAGGACAAUCGCGGGCGCCUGUAGUUACGCAACAGCGGCGAAACGCAAAUUUUAAUGGCCGCCAAGAGAGGCACUGCGAGGCCUGUGGCGCGCGCAGUCAUAAUUACGCGGAUUGCAAGUUCCAGGACUAUGUGUGCAGCAAAUGUCAGCGCACAGGCCACUUGCGGCGGGUGUGUCCGAACUGGGGCGCGGCACCGGGAACCGCGGGCCGUGUCGGAGCGCGGGCGCCGGCCCGGCGCGGAGGGGCAGCGGCGGCGGCGCCGGCGCGGAGUGCCAUGCAUUUUGGGGUGGCCGAUCACGAACCGAGUGAGGAUUACGGCGGAGACAUCGAGGAAGAAUUACAUCAUCUAUGUUUAAAUAACUACCCGGCGGUGAGUUUACCGAUAUGUAUAGACAAUACAGUUAUUAAUAUGGAAGUAGAUACGGGUACGGCGAUUUCGUGUAUCAGUAAGGCCACAUAUGACCGAUAUUUUUCCCAUAUAAAUAUAGAAACUGAUAAAACUGUGUUCAAUUACUACACUGGGCCCCCAAUUAGGCCUUUAGGUGUCAUUAGACCCAUAGUGACCUACAAUGAGUGCAGUAAACAAUUGGAGUUGUUUAUUAUUGAGGGGGGCUCGACUUCUUUGUUGGGCAGGCGGUGGUUGGUCGAACUAAAUAUUAAAAUACCUAAGUUAAGAUGUAAUUACGUAAUAGAUGAGACUAGCGGACAAGGUAAACAAGACAUUGUGAAUUUGCUCGGCAGAUAUGAGGCGUUGUUCAGCGACGGACUGGGGCGGUACAAGGGCGGCAAGGCGACCUUGAGGGUGCGGGAGGGCGCAGCACCGGUGUUCCAUCGCGCACGCCCGAUGCCGUACGCGCUGCGCGAGCGAGUGGACACCGAACUGGACGCCAUGCUGAGCGCCGGCGUCAUCGAGCCCGUCGACUGCUCGGACUGGGCAUCCCCACUGGUACCUAUUAAUAAGCCGGAUGGCUCCCUUAGAAUUUGUGCAGACUAUAAAGCUACUUUAAACCCGUAUUUGUUGGUCGACCGGUAUCCUCUCCCUAAAAUAGAAGAUGUUCUGGUAAAUUUAAAUGGCAAUAUGUACUAUAGUAAAAUUGAUCUUUCACAAGCGUACAACCAAAUUGAAUUGGACGAGUCUAAACGUUAUACGGUUAUAAACACCCACCGAGGGUUGUUUCAGUAUAAUAGACUGGUGUACGGCCUAUCAUCUAGUGUAGGGAUAUUUCAGCGUAUUAUGAUAAAUUUAUUGGGUAACAUACCUAAUGUACAAAUAUUUUUAGACGAUGUUAUUAUAGGGGGGCAAACUAAAACGGAACAUCUACAGGCUUUAGAAGCGGUUUUUCAACGUCUACUUACUAACGGAUUGAAGUUAAGGAAAAAUAAAUGCGUUUUUUUGGCUAAGGAAGUGAUAUACUUAGGGUAUGUAGUUUCCAGGGAGGGCAUCAAACCAGAUACAACAAAGAUAAAGGCGAUUCUGCAAAUGUCACAACCUCGUAACGUAUCCGAGUUAAGGUCGUUUUUAGGGACAGUAAAUUUUUUCGGUAGGUUUAUUAAAAAUCUCAGUUUAAUAUUGUCGCCUCUUUAUAAACUAUUAAAAAAGGAGGCGGAGUGGCACUGGAGCAAGGAGUGCGGGGAAUCUUUCGCGCAAGUCAAACAAUUGUUGGCGGGCGCAAAAGUAUUAAGGCAUUAUGAUCCAAGUAAACGUUUGAUAGCAACUUGUGACGCGUCACCACGGGGGGUGGCGGCGGUUUUGACCCAGAUUGGGCCGGACGGCGAACGCCCGGUCGCAUACGCAUCUCGUACUUUAAACAGCGCGGAGGAGAAUUAUUCGCAGAUACACCGCGAAGCCUUAGGUAUUAUUUUUUGUGUAAAGAAAUUCCACCAGUACCUUUACGGACGUCAUUUCACAUUGCGCACAGAUCAUAAACCACUAGUAUCAAUAUUUGGACCACAUACGGGUAUACCGACCAUGACAGCUAGCAGGAUGCAGCGGUGGGCAAUAAUAUUAUCAGCUUAUGACUACGAAAUUGAAUAUGUGAAUACGAAGGAUAACUGUGCAGACGGGUUGUCUAGAUUACCGAAUGCCAAUGAGACGCGGAACAAUUUAGGUGAUGCGAUUCCCGAGCAAACAUAUCUCCAUUUCGCGCAAGACGCGUUGCUGUUAGAUUAUAAUAAGAUAAAGUAUUACACUAUGCGCGAUCCAGUUUUGGCUAGAGUGUUAACUUUUAUUCGCGAGGGUUGGUCGGAUAGUUGUGAUUUUGAUACGUUGAAACCAUAUUUUAACCGAAAGUCAGAAUUAUAUGACGAGCUCGGAUGUGUUAUGUGGGGGCACCGGGUAGUAAUACCGGAGAAGUGCCGCGAUAAGGUUUUAAGAAUUCUACAUGAACCACACAUGGGUAUAGUUAAGACCAAGGCGUUGGCCCGUAGCUAUGUGUGGUGGCCGGGCCUCGACGAGGCGGUGGAGGCGGCGUGUCGCGAGUGCGCGCCGUGCGCCGCGGUAGCGAGCGCCCCGCCGCGGCACACGCCGCGCUGCUGGCCGUGGCCAACGCGAGCAUGGACUCGGGUACAUGUGGAUUUCUUGGGCCCUUUCCACGGAAAAACUUAUUUAAUAGUAGUGGACGCCAUGUCGAAAUGGGUCGAAGUAUUCCAGGUUCCCAGCACGGCCGCCGUUACAACCAUUGAAAAAUUAACCGAAUUAUGGGCUAGAUGGGGAAUACCUAAACAAUUGAUAAGCGAUAACGGCCCGCCGUUUACGAGCACAGAGUUUUCGAAUUUUUUAGCCUUAGACGGCGUAGAACAUAUUUUUACGGCUCCUUAUCACCCGGCCUCUAAUGGGGCGUCAGAAAAUUCGGUUAAAGUAAUUAAGCAAGUUAUAAAAAAAAGCAGUUAUAGAAAAAAACGACAUUCUAAACGCCAUCAACACAUAUUUAAUUUAUUAUCGCAAUACGGCGCACAGUUCCACAGGCGAGAGCCCCGCGAUGCUCAUGACCGGUAGGCAAUUGCGAACGCGUUUAGAUUUGUUAAAACCGGAUGUAAGUUUGAAGGUAGCUAAAAAUCAACAGCGGCAAACUCGCUUGGCAGGAGGGUCGGAACGGAAGGUGGAAAUAGGUGAGGACGUUUGGUAUCGUAAAUAUCUCAAAGGAGAUAAAUGGCAACCGGGUAAGGUGUCAGAGGUUUUAGGUGAUACGGAUUAUAACAUAACCGAUUGUCAGGGUAACAUUAUUCACCGCCAUAUCGACCAAUUAAAACGGAGAGCGAGGGGUUCUAUAGUCUGUCCAAAAAGUAGCGAGGAAAGUAGUGAGACAAUGGCCACGAACCCAUUCCCAAAUUUGCCACCGGAACCCAGGGCUGAGCCUAC